This 481-nucleotide ribosomal RNA is filed under the name uncultured bacterium. RNAcentral's name for it is "partial 16S ribosomal RNA". It matches the Rfam family "Bacterial small subunit ribosomal RNA", at positions 28 to 507 of the family's 1533-position model. The record is from RNAcentral.
GAUGAACGCUGGCGGCGUGCUUAACACAUGCAAGUCGAACGAUGAGGCGCGAUCUUUCUGGGGUUGAUGAUUGGCGAGCGCGGGAGUGACACGUGAGGAACCUGCCCCCUUCUGCGUGGGAAGCCUGGGGGACUGGGGCUAAUACAGGGGAUUCUGUAAUGAUCCGCAUGGUGUAGUGGUGAAGGACGGUUUUGGUGUGAUGCGCUAACGGCUUAUCGGCGUGUUGGUGGGGUGGUGGCCUACCAAGGCGUCGACGGGUCGCUGGCCUGAGGGGGUGACCGGCAACACUGGGACUGAGAUACGGCCCAGACUCGUCAGGGAGGCAGAAGUGGGGAAUAUUGCACAAUGGGCGACAGAUUGAUGCAGCGACGCUGCGUGAGGGAUGACGGCUUUAGGGUUGUAAAACUAUUUAGAUGGGGAACAAGGCCAUACUUUUGUGUGGUUGAGGGUACCUGUAUAAGAAGCGCCGGCUAACUACGUG